This 466-nucleotide ribosomal RNA is filed under the name uncultured bacterium. RNAcentral's name for it is "partial 16S ribosomal RNA". It matches the Rfam family "Bacterial small subunit ribosomal RNA", at positions 28 to 505 of the family's 1533-position model. The record is from RNAcentral.
GACGAACGCUGGCGGCGUGCUUAACACAUGCAAGUCGAACGGAAAGGCCCUGCUUUUGUGGGGUGCUCGAGUGGCGAACGGGUGAGUAACACGUGAGUAACCUGCCCUUGACUUUGGGAUAACUUCAGGAAACUGGGGCUAAUACCGGAUAGGAGCUCCUGCUGCAUGGUGGGGGUUGGAAAGUUUCGGCGGUUGGGGAUGGACUCGCGGCUUAUCAGCUUGUUGGUGGGGUAGUGGCUUACCAAGGCUUUGACGGGUAGCCGGCCGGAGGGGGUGACCGGCCGCAGGGGGAGGAAUGAGCCCCCGACCCCCCUACGAGGGGAAGCAGGGGGGAAGAAUACCAGAGGGGGGGAGACCGAAUGCGAAAGCCCCGCGGGGGGAGUGACGGCGUUGGGAUGGUAACCCAGUUCCCCUUGGAGGGAGGAGAAAGGGAGGGAAGGGAGAAAAGAAGCCCGGGCAAACGACG